Alosa alosa (allis shad) is the source of this 2288-nucleotide long non-coding RNA. RefSeq lists it as uncharacterized. The transcript has 3 exons. The record is from RefSeq and is a predicted model, not a curated record. Lineage: Eukaryota; Metazoa; Chordata; Actinopteri; Clupeiformes; Clupeidae.
CCUACACAUCGAUCAUUCAGUAACGUUAACAUAGGUCUAUGUUAAUCUUUCACUUGCAACAUUAGCGAUGAUCCCAUUUCUAUUUCCAAUCCGAUAACGUACAUCUAUCCUUAGCAGUGUGCUGGAGUUAAAUGUUACUGCAAAUCACGAAUGAAAUUAACUCUUUAAUGUUCACUUAAGUUUGAUUGCAAACUGAUUUCUGUUUUAAUGUAGCAAGUGCUAACGUUUUAGUAUGCUUGCUAAAACCACUGCAAUCUGGAAACCAACCCCCACUCAAGGGAAAAAGCUGAGAGCUAUUCAAGGUAGGUUUUCGGAGAACACGUUGCUAAAAGGUAACUUUCCACAGCAGUUUCAAGCCGACCACUGGGCAAACUACACCUAGCUCAAGAUCAUCGGGACAAGUCCAGACGAGACCCAGAGGACAGACCAGAUCAGAGGGCCAGCAGCAGAGGCAGCAGCAGAGGAGCUCACUCGCCUGCUGACUCAUCUCAGUCAGGGGCCACCAACCAUUUGGGAUAUUGCCUUCAUCGCGCCUCUCCACUCACCACUGCCCCCAGAAUGGCCCUUUGGCAGUCAUUUGCCUAUUUGUCACCAGGAAGGAGCCUAAUUGAGAAAGAAGUCUUAUCAGUCCCAAAUUGUGUUAAGUGAGACUUUACCCACCACACCCCCACCCACUGGCCUGCUCUGUGGAGUAAGGGCUCAACACCUCAGUAGUAGACACUGGCUUGCUGGGUCAACUGGCUGACUCCAUGCUCUGCAGUGCUGUGUGUGUGUGUGUGUGUGUGUGUUGCUAUGACAAGCCAUGAAACACUUAAGUGACAUUUUAAGACUGGUUGCCAGGAAGGACCACACGUUGUUGUUGUUUUUUUUUUUCAAUUUCGCACCAGAAGCCUUUCAGAUAGGGCUGAGAGAGGUUAUACGUAGAAAGCUCUAGAGCACUAUCGGAGCCCAUCUGUGUUGCAUUGAGUUGACCUGAUAAAAGUGGGUAAAAUGCCCAGUUUAAUCUGGCAUUCAUACUACACAUUAUAAAAUAAGCAGUCACAUACAAGAACGAUUUUAUUUUGCUUUCUACCUCCUGGAAAGACAACCAUGACAUUUUGCUUGUAGAAAAUUCGACAUAUUUCUGUGGCAGUCUCCAAGCAACCAAAGUACACAAAACCAAAACAGAGAGUCACUACUACAGCAACUCUUAAAAGUUAAAAAAGAGAGAAUGGACCACAUAAACGCAAAUACUGGUGAGCUGACAGAUCUAUUUUAUGGCUGGGACACUUUGAAAAGAAGAAGGCCGUAAAACUGCAGUAAUUUCCAUCACAAUGGGAUGUCACAAGCCCCUUUCUCUCUUUGAGAUGGUAAUUUGUGGACCGAGGUGGUGUUUGAUGACCAGAACUCCAUAAUAACAGUCCAUUGAUAUAAAAAAGGAGCUCUCCAGGGUUGUGGCAUGGACCCUUGACUGCCACACUCUCACCCCUGUGAAAAUGAAUUCAACAAUAGCACCAGGGAUAAACGGAAGGAACUGAAUUAUACUUCUAUGGUUUUCACGCUGCAUCAGAAAUACUAGAGUUCACUCUAAACACAAAGUAUUACAACGUCGACCAAAUGGGUACAGAGCCUUCGGAACAAGAAUUUCAAUUAAAACUCGGAACUGAGUUGGCUGCCUCAGCACAAGCAUUUUCUUGUCGUUGGCAAUUUUUAGUCCUCCAUAAUAUGGCUUGCAGGGACAAUUAAAAAAAAAAAAUGAAAAUGAAGAACUCUCUUGUGGAAAUGUAAUUACCUCUGAAUGCUUGCUAUAAUUACCCAUUCAAAAAUACACUGACAGGAUCGCUGCGGAGCUCAAGCUGACUGCAGUGGUAUUGUGGCACAGAGAGAGAGGGAAAAAGAUGAGCCAUGCAGUGAGAUACAGAUGACUCAGUCACAAAUUGGCAUUGUGACGACAAACGUGUCACAUCUGUCCUCCACAUCUGUCCUAAUUCAUUACUGUCGUAAAUGAGCGACGUGGAGGGUGCUCAGUGUUUAAGCAGGACCGGUGAACUGGCAUCCCGACCUCAUCAGAUUGCUGACUGUGUUCAUUCAAGAUUUCCCUCAUCGGUCAACAUGGUCAUUUCUAAAUGCUUCUCUCUCCCUCUAUUUUCAGAGGAUGAUUCAGCACUCUCUCCUCCCUGCUGCACUGUCCUUUCUGCUUCUACUGGCCAGAAGCCCUGAUGAGAACAGUGACCUAAGGAGUCGGAGGAGGAGGAGGAGGAGGAGGAAGAGGAGGUGGACCAAAGAAAGAGAAAUUAGACGGCAUUAUU